AUUGAACGCUGGCGGCAGGCCUAACACAUGCAAGUCGAGCGGAUGAAGGGAGCUUGCUCCUGGAUUCAGCGGCGGACGGGUGAGUAAUGCCUAGGAAUCUGCCUGGUAGUGGGGGAUAACGUCCGGAAACGGGCGCUAAUACCGCAUACGUCCUGAGGGAGAAAGUGGGGGAUCUUCGGACCUCACGCUAUCAGAUGAGCCUAGGUCGGAUUAGCUAGUUGGUGGGGUAAAGGCCUACCAAGGCGACGAUCCGUAACUGGUCUGAGAGGAUGAUCAGUCACACUGGAAGUGAGACACGGUACAAACUCCUACGGGAGGCAGCAGUGGGGAAUAUUGGACGAUGGGGGAAAGCCUGAUCCAGCCAUGCCGCGUGUGUGAAGAAGGUCCUCGGAUUGUAAAGCACUUUAAGUUGGGAGGAAGGGCAGUAAGUUAAUACCGUGCUGUUUUGACGUUACCAACAGAAUAAGCACCGGCUAACUUCGUG
RNAcentral lists this ribosomal RNA (484 nucleotides) under uncultured bacterium. Its description in RNAcentral is "partial 16S ribosomal RNA". It matches the Rfam family "Bacterial small subunit ribosomal RNA", at positions 30 to 507 of the family's 1533-position model. The record is from RNAcentral.